This 492-nucleotide ribosomal RNA is filed under the name uncultured bacterium. RNAcentral describes it as "partial 16S ribosomal RNA". It matches the Rfam family "Bacterial small subunit ribosomal RNA", at positions 28 to 505 of the family's 1533-position model. The record is from RNAcentral.
GACGAACGCUGGCGGCGUGCUUAACACAUGCAAGUCGAACGGUGAAGCGCCUUCCUUUUUGGUGGGUGUGGAUGAGUGGCGAACGGGUGAGUAACACGUGAGUAACCUGCCCCCUUCUUCUGGAUAACCGCAUGAAAGUGUGGCUAAUACGGGAUAUUCUGGGUCUGUCGCAUGACGGGUCUGGGAAAGAUAUUGUUUCGGUGGGGGAUGGGCUCGCGGCCUAUCAGCUUGUUGGUGGGGUGAUGGCCUACCAAGGCGGUGACGGGUAGCCGGCCUGAGAGGGUGGACGGUCACACUGGGACUGAGACACGGCCCAGACUCCUACGGGAGGCAGCAGUGGGGAAUAUUGCACAAUGGGCGCAAGCCUGAUGCAGCGACGCCGCGUGAGGGAUGGAGGCCUUCGGGUUGUGAACCUCUUUCGCCAGUGAAGCAGGCCUGCCUCGUUUGUGGGUGGGUUGACGGUAGCUGGAUAAGAAGCGCCGGCUAACUACG